This 348-nucleotide long non-coding RNA is filed under the name Carica papaya (papaya). RNAcentral's name for it is "long non-coding RNA (CPAP_LNC013128)". Lineage: Eukaryota; Viridiplantae; Streptophyta; Magnoliopsida; Brassicales; Caricaceae. The record is from RNAcentral.
UUAAAUAUAAUUAGACUAUGAAGCUUAAACAAUAAUAAAAUAUUCUAAUUCUAAUCCAAAAUUAAUAAAAUAAUUAAAAUAAUUACUAAUUUACUUGAGGAAGAAUUCCUCUCAUCUUGGCCAAAACUCCAUGUGUCUUUAUCUUUCUUGGACUUCUAAUUUGAGUAGAAUUCCUUCUCCAUUUUAGCAUAUUACUCACUUGUGGAAUUUAGGAAUUUGCAGAAGUACUUUGCAGCUUGGAAUCAUGGGAAAAUUGGGAAAAGAAAAUAGGAGUCCAAGUCGGACUCAAAACAAGUUAUCAGCAUGAGGUAGGCGUGCUAGCUUGUUGUCUGCGCGCUUUUAUUAUUA